RNAcentral lists this ribosomal RNA (254 nucleotides) under uncultured bacterium. RNAcentral describes it as "partial 16S ribosomal RNA". It matches the Rfam family "Bacterial small subunit ribosomal RNA", at positions 524 to 776 of the family's 1533-position model. The record is from RNAcentral.
UACGGGGGGAGCAAGCGUUGUUCGGAUUUACUGGGCGUAAAGGGCGCGUAGGCGGUCAGCACAAGUCAGUUGUGAAAUCUCCGGGCUUAACUCGGAAAGGUCAACCGAUACUGUGCGACUAGAGUGCAGAAGGGGCAACUGGAAUUCUCGGUGUAGCGGUGAAAUGCGUAGAUAUCGAGAGGAACACCUGCGGCGAAGGCGGGUAGCUGGGCCGACACUGACGCUGAUGCGCGAAAGCCAGGGGAGCGAACGGG